AGAGUUUGAUCAUGGCUCAGGAUGAAUGUUGGCGUCGUGCCUAAGGCAUGCAAGUCGAGCGAUUUUAAUUGGUAGCUUGCUACUAAUUAAUAUAGCGGCGAACGGGUGUAAAACGAGUAGAUAAUCUGCCCUUGACUUCGAGAUAGUCCGGCGAAAGCUGGGGUAAUACCGGAGAUGUCAUGAGAAUGGAAAUAUCAUGACCAAAGCAGUAAUGCGGUCAAGGAGGAGUCUGCUUCCUAUCAGCUUGUUGGCGGGGUAAAUGCCCACCAAGGCUAUGACGGGUAGCUGGUCUGAGAGGAUGAUCAGCCACAUGGGGACUGAGACACGGCCCUGACACCUACGGGUGGCAGCAACUAGGAAUAUUGGACAAUGGGCGAAAGCCUGAUCCAGCGACGACGCGUGGAGGAUGAAGAAUUUAGGUUUGUAAACUCCUUUUGUAUGGAAAUAAGCCGCAAGGUGAAGGUACCAUACGAAUAAGCAGCGGCUAACUACGUGCCAGCAGCAGCGGUUAUACGUAGGCUGCAAACAUUAUCCGGAAUCAUUGGGCGUAAAGAGAUGCGUAGGCUUCUUGAUAAGUUCUUGGUGAAAGCUCCCGGCUCAACCGGGAAACUGCUGAGAAAACUAUCAGGAUAGAGUGGGGAAAAGGUGAUUAGAACUCCUGGAGGAGUAGUAAAAUGCGUUGAUACCAGGAAGAAUACCAACGGCGAAGGCAAUUCACUAGUCCUAAAAAUUGUAUUAAUAGAUUACUGGGCAUAGCCCUUUAGUAAUUUAUUAAUACUACACUGACGCUAAGGCUCGAAAGCGUGGGGAGCGAAACGGAUUAGAUACCCGUGUAGUCCACGCCCUAAACAAUCCUUGCUAGAUGUUUAGUUAUUUCGAUAGGAGACCUUCGGGUUGAAUAUUGGGUUAAUUAGGUGUCACAGUUAACACGUUAAGCAAGGCGCCUGGGGAGUACGAUCGCAAGAUUAAAACUCAAAGGAAUUGACGGGGAUCCGCACAAGCGGUGGAGCGCGUGGUUUAAUUCGUUAACAAACGAAGAACCUUACCAAGGUUUGACAUCUAUAGAAUCUCUGGGAAACUAGAGAGUGCCCGCAAGGGAGCUAUAAGACAGGUGUUGCAUGGCUGUCGUCAGUUCGUGUUGUGAGAUGUUGGGUUAAGUCCCUUAACGAGCGCAACCCUUACUGUAUGUUACAUCUCUUACAGGACUGCCACGCUAAAACGUGGAGGAAGGUAGGGAUGACGUCCAGUCCUCAUUGCCCUUAUACCUUGGGCUACACACACGCUACAAUGGACGAGACAAAGGGUCGCCAAGCAGCAAUGCGGAGCUAAUCCCAAAAACUCGUUCUCAGUUCGGAUUGUCGGCUGAAACUCGCCGGCAUGAAGUUGGAAUCGCUAGUAACCGUGUGUCAGCAAGGCACGGUGAAUACGUUCUCGGAUCUUGUACACACCGCCCGUCAAGUUAUGGGAGUUGAGGGGACCCGAAUGUCGUUACAACGGCAGAAGGUCAAAUCAGCGACUGUAAUUAAGUCGUAACAAGGUAGCCG
Molecule: ribosomal RNA, 1544 nt
Filed under: uncultured bacterium
Lineage: Bacteria
Description: bacterial SSU rRNA
Rfam family: Bacterial small subunit ribosomal RNA
Source: RNAcentral